This 158-nucleotide ribosomal RNA is filed under the name Rossellomorea vietnamensis. Its description in RNAcentral is "Bacillus vietnamensis partial 23S ribosomal RNA". It matches the Rfam family "Bacterial large subunit ribosomal RNA", at positions 1 to 154 of the family's 2925-position model. Lineage: Bacteria; Bacillati; Bacillota; Bacilli; Caryophanales; Bacillaceae. The record is from RNAcentral.
AUUUGGUUAAGUUAGAAAGGGCGCACGGUGGAUGCCUUGGCACUAGGAGCCGAUGAAGGACGGGACUAACACCGAUAUGCUUCGGGGAGCUGUAAGUAAGCUUUGAUCCGGAGAUUUCCGAAUGGGGAAACCCGCUGCACGUAAUGGUGCAGUAUCCA